AGUAUCGAGUACCUAAUAUCGAUACCUGCCCAUCACUAGUGUGUAGUGGGAUAAGUAACGAAACCUAGGCUGAAGGAGUCGUAUAAUAACGAAAACAAUAACAAUGGCUGGGUGGACAUAUGAGGAAAGGCAGGAGCUCCUUGACAGUGUCCUAAAGCUAACAAAAGAUGAGAGCAAGUCGUUCACUUCCGUUCUGAAAACAUUUGACUGGGAGAAGAUUGAGGUCGGGGAACGGACGGCUGAGGAGUGCAAAGAGGAGUUUGUGAACGUGACGAGUAAGGUGCGACGAUACAGAACUAUGGCCGAAAUCAUUGUGGAUGCCCAAGCGGCAAAGAACGAGCCGUCUUCUUUUCCAGAUCUUCCCAAGAGACCAGCGCCAGCCUAUGUGAUGUUUUUGCAGAAGAAAAGCAAAAAAUUCGUUAAGAAGGGGAUACCUUUCAAAGAAUUGCCUGUAAAAUUGGCGAAAAAGUGGCAUGACAUGGAUGCAGUUACAAAGGAACGCUACCUGAAAAAACAUCAUGUCGCGGUGGCGCAGUACAGGAUUGAAAUGGCUGAGUUUGUUAAGAAACACCCGGGUGUGGUUUUGGACAAACCGCGGGCUCCUCUGCCGAGCAACCUGUUUGCAGACGCCAGGGUGGAGAAGACACUGGAGAAGAAUCCCGAGCUGACACAUGUCCAGGCCUUACGAAAGUGUAGCAAAAAGUACCUAAAGCUGCCAAACAAAAAGAAAUUGAAGUGGAUCAAGAAAGCAAAAGCCAGCAUUGAAGCAUACAAGGCUGACUGUGACGAGUACCUGGCCAAGAGGCCCGAGUCAAAGUUUCGCCCGAUGAAAGUCAUCAUUUCGAAAGAGGAGCAAAACAUCUUGGACGAGUCUGCUGGGAAGCCGGCUGUCCCUCCCAGGAACCUGUUCAACUUCUACAUGUCCACCACUGGCCAGCCGCAGGCGGGGAUCACGCAGAAGGAGAGGAUAUCGUCCCUCCGGGCACAGUACAAGACCCUCAGCGCCUUAGAGCAGCUCACCUUGCACCAAAAGUAUGAGGAGGAAGUGAAGUCGUACUCAGAGAAGUACCAGGCGUAUUACGAGUCUCUGACGGAGGAGGAGAGAUCCACGACUAAGUCCCCCUCGGAAGAAUUGGUCCUCUUCCAGAAAAUUCGUGGACCCAAAAAGACUACCAGCCAGGUUCUGAAUGUGGGCAGCCUCUUAAACCACAAGGGCAAGAACUCUUCUACUCAGAGAACCAUUCUGGACUACGCCACCCCGAAGAAAGGAAAGGGCGCAGCGCAAGAGUCGAGCUCGUCGGAUGAGCCGGUGCAGAACUCUUCAGUGGCUGGGGUGAAGAGAAAGCUGACCGUCGACGCCAAUGUGAGCCCGAAGAAGAAAAAAAAGAAUAGUGACAACACGUCGGAUUCUGACGAGGAAGAUAUCGUGAAGUCUCAAGGGAAAGUGAAAAAAUCACCGAAGAAGAAAAAGGGGAAUAAUGACGAUACGUCAGACUCUGACGAGGAAGAAAUCGUGAAGUCUCAAGGGAAAGUGAAAAAGUCGAAGAAGAAGAAAAAGGUGAAUAAUGACGACCCGUCAGACUCUGACGAGGAAAAAAUCGGGAUGUCUCAAGGGAAAGCGAAAAAGUCUAAGAAGAAGAAAAAGGUGAACCAUGAUUUGUUGGACGUUGCUGAGGAGAAAACGGUGAAAUCACAAGGGGAAGGGGAAAAAUCACCAAAGAAAGUCAUGCAAGUCCUACCAGAAGAGUCUUCGGACAGUGAGGACUCUGAGGAUGAGAUAAAAAUCAAGAGAAAGAAAAGCAAGUUGAAAUCGCCAGAAAAACCCAAGCCGCCGGUCAAGAAAAAGAUUGUUAAAGAAGAGGAGCCGGAUAUGGAUGAUUUGUUGAGUUUUUAGUUUUUUCUUUGAUUGAGACUGGUGCAGAUGAUUUGUUGAGUUUUUAGGUUUUUCUUUGAUUGAGACUGGUGCGGGUGAUUUGUUGAGUUUUUAGGCUUACGACUGAGACAGGGGUAGAUGAUUUGAUUUUUUAGGCUGUCCUUGAUUGAUGCUUGUGCGAAUGAUUUUUUGAGUUUGAAAUUGGUACAGAUGAUUUGUUGUGUUUUUGAGCUCUUGAUCGAGGCUUGAUAUAUGAAUGAUUUGUUAAGUGUUUAGGCUUUCUACUGAAGCAGGUAUGUGUGGAUGAUUUAUUGAGUUUGAAAUGAAAUUGGGACGGGUGAUUUGUUGAGUUUUUAGUCUCUUUGAUUCAGACUGUGUAUGGAUGAUUUGUUGAGAUUUUAGACUCUUUGUUUGAUACUGAUGCGGAUGAUUUUUAUUUUGAGUUUUUCAAUCUCCUUGAUUGAGGCUGGAUGUGGUUGUUUUACCAAGUUGUGCCUAAAAAAAAGUUUUGAAACAGCUGUGUGAAUUGUGGCAUCAUUAGUUUUUACCCCAAUCCCUGUUUUGUAUCCUAUUCCUGUGUACUUUUGAUUGCUGGAGCUAGUGGAAGUUCAAUUAUUAUUAUAACACAUAGCAUUGCGUUGCACAUUUCCAUUGUUUACAAUGCUCAAUGCGCUGUACAAGACAUUAAUUGAUAGCCUCUAAUGGCUAUAUAUAUAGGCAGCACUCAAGCACAAGGGCAUAUGAAAUGACACAUGUAUAUAUAUAUAUAUAUAUAUACAGUGCAGCCUCUCUAUAACGACAUCCUCUGUAUAUAUAGCAACAUGGUGCCGAGGUCCCUAUUUUUUCCUUAUAUGCCAUUAGUAACUUUUGGUUGCCUCUCAUAACAACUUUUUCUGGUCCCUACGAUGUGGUUAUAGAGAGGCUGCACUGUAUGUCAACGUAAUAGGAUGCGUUUUUCUGAAUAAUUUUUGUAUGAUUUCAAUCCUUUGGACGUGUAUGGGGAACAUUUUGAAGGCUAGGUAGGUGUUUGGCUUAGUGGUCGGAGUUGGAAUGAUAGGGACAAAAAAGUAGAGACUGUAGAUCAAAGUGUGUGUCUGAGUCUGAGCAUAAAUGUUUGAGUUUGGCUGUUUUGUUGUGGUCGGAGGGCUGUUUUCUUUUUGUUACACCCCAACCCACUUGGGGAGAGAGAUAAUAUGUACAUGAUUUAAUAUCGGUAACAUUCAUGAUUGUUUCGAUCCUGAUGUUCGUUGGUGUUAUAUUUUAAAUAUUAUUUUCCUGUGUAAAUAUGUAUAAAACAAAAUUUAUAUUUUCAAGAGAUUGAGAGAAAUGUAGGUGUAACACUUUGCCGCCUCAAUGCUCAUAUAGUAAAACAAACUCUUGUCAUCAAAGGCAAAGGCAUUUUGGGGAAAAUCCAAAGAAACUGGGUGGUACUGGCAGACAUCGCCGAUCGGCGAGAUGAGGUGGCUAAGUGUUUUUUAAAAAAAAUAUUUCCCCAUUUCUUUCCCUGUUGAUUGUUGUGUUUCUAAUUCUAGUCUUUGUUUUAUGUUUAGCCUCAGAUUUUCUCACUGCUAGACUGUAACUGGAAGUGUAUGUGCUAGACUGUAACUGGAAGUGUAUGUGCUAGACUGUAACUGGAAGUGUAUGUGCUAUACUGUAACUGGAAGUGUAUGUGCUAGACUGUAACUGGAAGUGUAUGUGCUAGACUGUAACUGGAAGUGUAUGUGCUAGACUGUAACUGGAAGUGUAUGUGCUAGACUGUAACUGGAAGUGUAUGUGCUAGACUGUAACUGGAAGUGUAUGUGCUGACUGUAACUGGAAGUGUAUAUGCUAGACUGUAACUGGAAGUGUAUGUGCUAGACUGUAACUGGAAGUGUAUGUGCUAGACUGUAACUGGAAGUGUAUGUGCUAUACUGUAACUGGAAGUGUAUGUGCUGACUGUUACUGGAAGUGUAUGUGCUAUACUGUAACUGGAAGUGUAUGUGCUUACUGUAACUGGAAGUGUAUGUGCUGACUGUAACUGGAAGUGUAUGUGCUGACUGUAACUGUGGGGGGCUUUUUUCUCUCUUGUGUAGAUGUCAGUAUGAGAUGGGGAUUAUGUACCACAUAUUCAUGUUGUGGUACUAGAGCCUAAUAAUUUGAUGUGUAUUAAGGUCAUAUGCCAUUCAAUUCCUAUCCCCCCUUCCAACCAAAAAGUCAAUUUCUA
RNAcentral lists this unclassified non-coding RNA (4076 nucleotides) under Aplysia californica (California sea hare). RNAcentral's name for it is "nucleolar transcription factor 1, transcript variant X1". Lineage: Eukaryota; Metazoa; Mollusca; Gastropoda; Aplysiida; Aplysiidae. The record is from RNAcentral.